GCACAACGCGAAGAACCUUACCAAGGCUUGACAUAUUCGAGAACACCCUAGAAAUAGGGGACUCUUUGGACACUCGUUUACAGGUGGUGCAUGGUUGUCGUCAGCUCGUGUCGUGAGAUGUUGGGUUAAGUCCCGCAACGAGCGCAACCCUCGUUCUAUGUUGCCAGCACGUUAUGGUGGGAACUCAUGGGAUACUGCCGGGGUCAACUCGGAGGAAGGUGGGGAUGACGCCAAAUCAUCAUGCCCCUUAUGUCUUGGGCUUCACGCAUGCUACAAUGGCCGGUACAAUGGGCUGCGAUACCGUGAGGUGGAGCGAAUCCCAAAAAGCCGGUCCCAGUUCGGAUUGUAGUCUGCAACUCGACUACAUGAAGUCGGAGUCGCUAGUAAUCGCAGAUCAGCAACGCUGCGGUGAAUACGUUCCCGGGUCUUGUACACACCG
Molecule: ribosomal RNA, 439 nt
Filed under: uncultured bacterium
Lineage: Bacteria
Description: bacterial SSU rRNA
Rfam family: Bacterial small subunit ribosomal RNA
Source: RNAcentral